GCGUUAAACAGCUCAAAACCACACUGAUUAGUAGGUUGGCGUUAAUUAGUUUCCCUCUGUUUAUACCUGCACCAAAAAGGACCAAACAGGUCGUGUUUUCCCGGUAUAUUUUAGACGUAUACCGAGUUAAACUAGAAUGACUCUGUUAACAUCAGCGUGUCUCUGCGUGGCUCUGCUGUUCGUCUGUGUCGUGGAUUUGGCUUCCUCAGACCAGACAACCAUCACAGCUGAGUCUGGACAGAAGAACGUCACUCUGACAUGUCGAGCUCCACAAGGCAAAACCAUCAGAGCUGUGAAGUGGAGCAGAGCUGACCUGGGAGAUAAAUAUGUGCUUUUGUACCGAGAUGAGCUGUUUGAUCAAACAAGCCAGCAUCCAUCUUUUAAGAACCGGGUGGAUCUGCAGGACAGACAGAUGAAGGAUGGAGACGUGUCUUUGAUUCUGAAGGAUGUGACGAUUAAUGAUGCUGGAACAUACGAGUGUCGUGUCAUUGUGGGAGAAUCAGCAUCAUUGGAGAUCAUGGGAACCGUCAACAUGAGUGUUCUUCCUCCAGGUCACCAGGGAGACACGGAGGAUGGAGGGAUAAAGGAUAUCCCUGUUGGACUUAAAAUCGUGUGUUUACAGGAGGUACUGCAUGGGGGACUCAUCAGUUUUAACUAGAUCAUCAACAGCGACUGAAAUGAAACUCCACAACAUGAAACUGUUCACUGAUGAGACUUCAGUGAACAGUAGAUGAAUCAACUGAAGGACCAGAUGCAUCUCUCAGGUCCUGUUUCUUCAGGACAUGACUUUCACAGACUGUUUAUCUGCUGCAGAUAGUUGUUUUGUUUUGCUUUUUAGCCCUGAUACUUCGUCUUUCCUCAUUCACUUGUCCAGUUUAGUCAGAUUUUUAAGGACCCACUGCACACUGAGAUACUCCAACUUUUAAGAUAUCCGUUAAAGAAUCAGAUAGUUGGUGCAGUUCUGUUAUUCUGUCUGUCAAACUGUGUUAUCUUUGGCAGGUUUCCCAAAUCUAACUAAAGAAAUGGAAACAAAUGUGUUGUUGGGACAGAUUUCUUGUAAUAAAGUCUCUAAAGUUACAGUUUAA
Oreochromis aureus is the source of this 1085-nucleotide long non-coding RNA. Lineage: Eukaryota; Metazoa; Chordata; Actinopteri; Cichliformes; Cichlidae. The record is from Ensembl.